GGAGAGGUGUCCGAGCGGUUGAAGGGGGCGGUCUCGAAAACCGUUGUACCUUAUGGGUACCCGGGGUUCGAAUCCAUGCCUCUCCG
This 86-nucleotide transfer RNA is filed under the name Chitinispirillales bacterium. RNAcentral's name for it is "tRNA-Ser". It matches the Rfam family "tRNA". Rfam says of the family: Transfer RNA (tRNA) molecules are approximately 80 nucleotides in length. Lineage: Bacteria; Pseudomonadati; Fibrobacterota; Chitinispirillia; Chitinispirillales. The record is from RNAcentral.